AGAGGCUCACGGCUUUGCUAGGAACAGAUUAACAAGGAGUCUAACAGGAAAUAGAAAGGCAGCAGAAUUCAGGCUUUGGCCUAAGAACCACCAUGGGCAAAUCCUUCCUUGGCCGGGCACCUUCUAUGACCUUGGCAGCUCCAAAUGACCCUGGGUGAUGUUUGACGAGCUCCUGUGAACCUCGACAAAUGGGGUCCUGACCACAGCUCUGUGAGAAAACAGUGGGUGAUCUGAGAGAGAGAGCUGAACCUGGCUGAGAAAAACAAGCACCCUAUGUGACUACUCAGAAAUAGAGACCGCCUAUUUGCAGCAACAGAGAAGAGAGAACCAAACAUGUGAAGAGACCCAAAGGUUUUUUGGCAGGAGUAAAAGAUCUCUCCGUUCUCAUUUAUUUUGUGAAGAAUGGCACAUUGGUGGGCAUGAGGGCUGCAUAAAGGGUGCUUCAUAAAGAACAGAGAGAGGAAGAAACUGACAAGAAAGGACCUCCAUUUAAUUCAGUCAAGAGAACUGUGGGUUCACACAGAAUAAGCUGUCCUUGGAGAAUGGAUUUGCCCUGUUUAAUUGUUACACCAGUUCUACCUUUUGUGAGCAGGGUGCCCUUGGACAAAUUAACCUCUCUGAGAGUUAGUUUCUUCGUCAGUAAAAUAAAGAUAAUUUUUAAGAUCUGGUUCCA
This is a long non-coding RNA of Acinonyx jubatus (cheetah), 673 nucleotides long. RefSeq lists it as uncharacterized. The transcript is spliced from 4 exons. The record is from RefSeq and is a predicted model, not a curated record. NCBI's taxonomy places the organism in Eukaryota, Metazoa, Chordata, Mammalia, Carnivora, Felidae.